ACGAGCCCAAAAUAUUAUACAUAUGGUCCAUGGACGCAGUCGAAAGUAAAACAUACAUUCAUAUAUCUUGAAAACGAGUCUUUAGCAAAAGAUGUCCAAUCUACACCAGCUCCUACAGUUCCGUGAGUGCUACGGUCUUUUCUACUGGUCACCUGCAAAAGGAUGUGAGGAGUGAGUGAACUAGUUUCACUCAGUGAGCCAGGGUUCCCUAUCUAGCAUAUAUAACUACCCGUCAUUUUAAACCCAACCCCAAACACAAGCAAGACGGGUAGUUCAACAAUCAGUAUUCAAGAUCAUAAAGCAAUACCGAUUUAAGCAAUAAAGCUUUAAACCAUAUUUAAUCAAAACACUCUUUAUGAGUGUCAUUCAAUAAACCAUAUACAUGUACUCCUAGGGCCCAACAGAAUCAUUCUUCCUCCACAUAAGGGACACCGGCAAUCCCUUCACUAUUACACCACACAGGCGUAGGCGCUCGGGAAUCGCCCGGUCACGGUCCUCAAUCGGAAUCACCGUGCCCCGGUCCUCUAUCGGACUCGCCGGGGGCUGUCACAUCCACGUGUGACACCCGGCCUCGGUGAUCAAGCCAAGUUAAACCGAGCCCACCACUUUCCGGACCACGACCGGCUUAGUGGUACCAUUUGAGAAAGCAAUGACCUGCAACUACUACUAGAACCACCACGAGGUUCUCACACAACAAUACCAACACGAGGUACCCACUAUAACAACAUAUAAUAAUUACACAAUCGCAAUAAUCCGGGUGCUUAGACUAGUCUUGCUAUCCACUUAGCCUAGACAUCGUCUCAAGCCUCGGAUCCACAAACUGACACCUAGCCCGGUCCGGCUAUCCUAGCUCGGAAACCGUCUCCGAUGUCAGGAGCCUGCAUUAAAAAUUUGUUAACAAACAAUUAACCGUGACUCACAGUGAUUAACCGAUGUGGCUUGACUUUCUGAUUCCGGAAGCUGACCAAACCCUUUUUAUUCUUCCAAAUCUUCGUCUUGAUUACGUACCGUUAAUCUCGCAAUCUUGUAACACGUCUUGCCUCUCUAAGCAGCUCCUUAAAUAUAUUAUUUAUUUUCCUUCUUUUUUUUUUCUAUUUCUUUUCUCUCUUUCUUUUAUUUCUCUUCUCUCCUGUUCUUUUUCUCCUUCUCUCUCUUGGUCGUUGAUGUUCUGAUCGUGAGAAAAUGGAGGGACUUUGCUUCAUUUAUAUAGUCAACCAAGAUGUAUGAGGUGGUGACAAGUAUCACACUCUUCUUCCCAUCUUUGACCACGUUUUCAAAGCAAUGACUAAGUCAUUUGCUUCCUAGUUGGCCACGUGAUACUCAUAAGCAUGAGCAAGCAUAUUAAUUUAUUUUCUUCCUUUCUUAUAUAGACACCUGAUGAUGACAAAGCAAACCUGUAUGAUUCAUUCUCCUUUCCUUCCCAUCAAACACGUUGAUUGCAACCAAGCCAUAAGAAAUAUAAAAUAUUUCUUUAUCUCCUCUUUUCUUCUCAGCUUGAUUAAUUAACCCAAACUUAGUAAUCAAAACACCAUUCUCAUCGAUCACUUUUCUCCUUUUAAAAGAUAUAGCUUAAUUAUCCAAUUAAGCUACUAACUUACUUUCAAUGCAUCGAUCACUUUUUGUCUUUAGCUUUGUAUUUUUCUUUCCAGAAAAAUUUAUUUCUGAGAAUUUAUUAUGUUGAAUUAUUUAUUUAAAAAUAAUUCUUUCUCAGAAAGACGGGAUAUUACAUCCUCCUCCCCUUAUUAGAAUUCGUCCCCGAAUUCUCUAGGAUGAUCCCUUUUCUUCCAUCACUACGUCUUCAUGGAAGAAUUCUGGAUGCGAUGCUUUGAAUCUUGACUCAUCCUCCCAGGUCACAAUUACAUGGUUUCGCUUACCCCAGAAGACUUGGAUUUGAGGAAUCUCUUGGUUCUUUAGUUUUCGUAUUCGACGUUCACCUAUUCGGAUCGGUCCCUGUGGAUAAGUGAGAUUUGUUUGCAAGUUUUCAAUUUGCUCCGUCUCAAUAGCUUUGGGAUCAUGAACAUGCUUCCGUAGCAUUGAUACGUGAAACACCGGAUGUAUCCGCAUUUCUUCGGGCAGGUUGAGACGGUAAGCAACAUCUCCGAUUCGUUCUUCAAUCUGGUAAGGCCCAAUGAAUCUUACCGCAAGUUUCCCGACUUUCCCGAAUCGAUCUUUUCCUUUCUGAGCUGACACUUUCAGAUAAACCCAAUCACCAAUACUGAACACCACUUCUCGCCUUGAUUGAUCGGCGUAUUUCUUUUGUCUAUCCUGCGCUUUUUUCAUAUUGGUUUGAAUGAUCUCCAACUUUUUCAUCGUCUCUUCUACAAUUUCGGGUCCAAACUCUCUUCUUUCUCCAACUUCGGUCCAACAUAAAGGUGUUUUGCAUGGCCUCCCAUAAAGCGCCUCAUAUGGUGCCAUACCUAUGCUAGAAUGAAAGCUGUUGUUGUAGGAGAACUCGAUUAAUGGUAAAUGCUUUUCCCAGCUUCCCGCCCAAUCCAAUAUACACAUCCGCAUCAUAUCCUCUAUGGUUCGAAUGGUUCUUUCGGUUUGGCCGUCCGUCUCGGGAUGAUACGCGGUGCUAAUAAACAACUUAGUUCCCACUGCUUUUUGUAACGCCUUCCAAAAAUUUGAGGUGAAUCUAGGAUCUCGAUCAGAGACUAUAUCUGUUGGCACACCAUGCAACUUCACAAUCUGAUCCACGUACAUCUCUGUCAAUACUUCUACCUUAUCGGUUUCCUUCAUAGGUAACAAGUGCGCCACUUUUGUCAAUCUGUCGACAAUCACCCAUAUUGCAUUAUUUGAUCUUCCUCUAGCCGGCGGUAACCCAGUGAUGAAGUCCAUGGAUAUGGAAUCCCAUUUCCACUGAGGUACUGGUAAGCUUUGUAAUAAUCCUCCUGGAAUCUGAUGCUCGACUUUGACUUGUUGACAAGUUUGGCAUUGAGCCACCCAUCGCGCCACUGACUUCUUCAUUCCUGGCCAAUGAUAAUACUUUCGGAUAUCUCGAUACAUUUUCGUACUCCCGGGAUGGAUACUGAGUAACGAGUGAUGCGCCGACUUCAAAAUUUCAUCUCGUAGCCCUUCUCCCUGUGGUACUGAUAUCCUCCCAUUAAGUAAAAGUGUACCAUCUGCCGCCACAUGAUAACCACUUGGGUUUGUACCUUCAGGAUUCUUGACUUCCUCGAUGAUUAUCUUUAGCUUUUCAUCACAUUCUUGCUCUUUUCUGAUCCGUGCGAGUAAACCUGCUUGGUCUACGGCACGCGUGCCUAAGGACUCACUUGGUUCUCCCUCAAUUGCCUGUAACGUCAUCAACUUGAGUUCAUUUGAUAACGCUUCCACUUCCUUUCCAACAUCAGACGCCAACUUUCUACGACUUAGUGCAUCUGCGACAACAUUAGCUUUGCCUGGAUGAUAUUGAAUCUUCAAGUCGUAAUCCGCCACAAACUCCAUCCAUCGCCUUUGUCGGAGGUUUAGAUCAGGCUGUGUGAACAAGUACUUGAGACUCUUAUGAUCUGUGAAUACUUCCACGACUUCUCCAUAUAAGUAGGAUCUCCAAAUCCUUAACGCAAACACCACUGCCGCCAUUUCUAAAUCGUGUGUUGGGUAGUUCUCUUCAUGUUUCCUGAGUUGCCUUGAUGCAUAAGCAAUUACUUUGCCUUCCUGCAUCAACACACAACCCAACCCAACCCUAGAAGCAUCUGCGUACACAGUGUAAGGUUUACCUUGUUCAGGUAAUGCCAAUACUGGUGUUGUGGUCAAAGCUUUCUUCAGUCUCUGAAAUGCUUCCACUGUUUCUUUUCCCCAGAUGAACGGAACUCCUUUUCCAGUCAACUUCGUUAGGGGCUUAGCGAUUGAGGAAAAGUCCUUGACGAACUUUCGAUAAUACCCGGCUAACCCGAGGAAACUUCUUACCUCGGUUACCGUUGAUGGCCUUUGCCAUUCCUCGAUGGCUUUCACCUUUUCCGAAUCUACAGAAACUCCUUCUCCGGACACUCGGUGCCCUAAGAAUCCGAUCUCUCUUUUCCAAAAAGAACACUUACUGAACUUUGCAUACAACCUCUGGUUUCUUAACCGUUCCAACACUAGCUUCAAGUGUGCUUUGUGCUCUACCUCUGUCUUGGAAUAUAUUAAAAUAUCAUCGAUGAAGAUUAUCACGAACUUGUCGAGAUAAUCGUGGAAGACUUCAUUCAUCAAUCUCAUGAAGGCCGCCGGUGCGUUAGUAAGUCCAAAUGGCAUUACGACAAACUCGUAUUGUCCAUAACGAGUUCUAAACGCAGUCUUCAUGAAAUCACCUUCUGAAAUUGGAAUCUGAUGAUAGCCCGACGCCAAGUCGAUCUUUGAAAACCAACUUGCUCCCCUUAACUGAUCCAACAAUUCGUCUAUCCUCGGAAGGGGAUACUUAUCUUUGAUGGUGAUAUUGUUGAUUCCUCGAUAAUCAAUGCAAAGCCGCAUGCUACCAUCUUUCUUCUUGACAAAUAAGACCGGAGCUCCCCAUGGUGAAGAGCUAGGUCUUAUGAAACCUUUGUCCAUUAAAUCUUCAAGUUGUGUCUUCAACUCUGCUAACUCUGCAGGUGCCAUGCGGUAAGGAGCCUUUGCUAUCGGCUUAGCUCCAGGUUCCAAGUUAAUUGUGAAAGGGUUACUCCGAGGUGGAGGUAACUCUUUUAACGCUGCAAACACAUCCUCAAACUCUUGUACUACCGCAAUAUCCGUAAUUUUAACUUCAUUGCUAACGGGUCCUUCACUAGCAGUUACUGUUACCAGAUACGCUUCUCCAUCCUUAAGCAAAUCUUCCACUCUCAAGGCAGCUACUAAAGACACAGAUUUGCUUGGACUGAUCCCGUAGAAUACUAUUUGCCGUUGCCCGUUCUCUUUGAACAAAAUACGACCUUUUUCACAAUCUAAUUGAGCCCGAUAGCCUGAUAACCAAUCCAUGCCCAGAAUAACCUCAUAUCCCUUUAAGGGCACCACCAACAAAUCUGCCACAAACAUCUUCUCGCAAAUGACUAACGGAACUCUUCUGAGGCACUCUUUUGCUUGUAGGGUUUGGUCUCCGGGAGUUAUCACAGCCACAUGCAUCCUGUCAAUCACAAAUGAUCUCACAAACUCGGCAGCUACCUCAGGGGUCACAAAGCUAUGUGUUGCCCCCGAGUCGAACAAUACAUGUGUGGGACGCCCCGCAACAUGUAAAGUUCCUGCCACAACAUCAAUAUGUAUCAACAACAUAAAAAUUAUCCAACAGAAAUUAAUCAAUCCAUCACAAGCAAUCACUCAACACAAAAUCAAUCUAGUAAAGUUAAAGAACCCAAAUACCUGUGAUGGGACCCUUAGAUGGGCCUGGAAGUUUAGUAUCCUCUAGUUCUAAAGCGUAAACUCUACCUCCUAUAGCUUGCCUUUUUGGCGCUGGUGCGAUUGCAGGUGGAGCCGGGGGAGGAUGGACACUGAUUGGCGUAGCCGGGAUAGGACGAUUGACACUGUACUGUGUAGAGAUGUGUCCUUUCUUUCCACACGUGUAGCAUGUAGGAUUGUAGGAGUUUGACUGAAAGGAUCCAGGUUUCUUUCCGAAGCAUUCACUCGACUUAUGGCCUAUCUUGCCACAGUUAAAGCAUUUUCCUGUGAAUAGAGAUCGUCGAGUUGGCCUUCCUGAUUCCUUUUCCUUAUCUUUACCCUUAAAUGAUCUUUGAUUUCCACCAUACUUUCCUUGUUCAUGCUGCUUGGACUUUUUACUUGCCGCCUUCUCAGCUUCUAAUCCGAUCUCUACAUUCACAGCUUUUUCCACUAGGUCGGUGAGACUCUCGUAGUUCCCGACUGCCAGUCUAUUUUCUAACUCUGGUUUUAAACCAAACAUAAAGUUGGAUAUCAUGGUUUCUUCAUCAUCUUGUCCCUGCAGCACAUGUCGUCGCAGUCGCAUGAACUCCGAUUCAUAUUCUCUAACUGUCUUGUCUCCUUGUGCUAGGUUAGCAAACUGACGUUGAAGCCUUCGCUUGGACUCCGGGGUGAAAUACUUGCGUUCAAAUUCCUUUUUGAAUGCCGCCCAAGUGGUGACCAGAUGUCCUACUUGGCGAUUCCUGUUUUCCCACCAUUCUGCCGCAUCUUUUUCUAAGUAAUACACCGCCAUCUUUUUCUUAGACUCUUCAGAACACGUCAGGGUCUCAAAGUUUUUCUCCAUAGUUCGAAGCCACUGGUCAGCUUCAAAUGGGUCUGUCCCUCCUUCAAAAUGUGGUGUCUUCAUGUUUUUCAUGGCAGUUAUCAAUGGUAACAUCGGUGUAGCCACUGUAGGUUGUGGUGGUACGAGUGGCUGAGGUUGCACCUGAGGUUGUUGCAGUGACCUCGCUAUCACGUCAUGAAGCAUCUUCAGAGUAUGCUCCAUUCCUAUUCCUUGUUGUGGUUGAUCAUGAACUUCUUGUUCAAUCGGGUUGCUCCGUCUUAUUGGUCUUGGUCCUUGGACACUUGACUCACUAUCAUCUGUUUCUGGUCUUUCCCUUACACUACGGUUCGGUGGAAAGUGUUCUUCUUGUGGCCUUGACUGGUCGUGCCCAAACAGAUUGUCAUUUUCCACUAUGUUAUCUUCGCUGAACUCCUGGUUGGUGUGUGCUAGUGUUUGCACUCUUACGUCGGAUUCAUAUCCCAGCCCUCGUCUUCUUGAGAUUCUUCCUGUACCCAGCAUCCAAUCCUGUCCCCCUUCACUCCUUCCCCUUCUUGCCAUCUGCAAUCCAUAAACAGGGAAUUUCCUAUUUAGAAUAAUAAUUAGAACGGAACUCUGCUGGUUUCCUAAUACAUCUUUUGCGACACAUUUGACUCGAUAAAACAUGAAAAAUGCGUGAUUGACCGCAUGAUCUAAACCAUGCUCUGAUACCACCUCUGUAACACCCCCGAACCAUUUAAGACAUCGGUCAGUCAGUCGAGCAACAAUCAAACAAGAACAUGCCCGAACGACCUUCCUCUGCUAAGUCUGGAAGUGUCACAACGGGUUUAGAAUAGACUUUCCAAGUCACAAAACAUAAUUCUGUAACCCAGAAUAUCCAUUCAAAACUCGUUUCCUCUAAUCUUCGGCCUGAGGCUUUGCAACCCGUACCGAGUCAUAGAGUUGUGUUAGGUUGGACUAACCUAAUAUCAGAUUCAACACGUCACGAAUAUUAAACAUACUUUAUUCCAUAUAUAUAUAAAACAUGAAGUUCACGAGCCCAAAAUAUUAUACAUAUGGUCCAUGGACGCAGUCGAAAGUAAAACAUACAUUCAUAUAUCUUGAAAACGAGUCUUUAGCAAAAGAUGUCCAAUCUACACCAGCUCCUACAGUUCCAUGAGUGCUACGGUCUUUUCUACUGGUCACCUGCAAAAGGAUGUGAGGAGUGAGUGAACUAGUUUCACUCAGUGAGCCAGGGUUCCCUAUCUAGCAUAUAUAACUACCCGUCAUUUUAAACCCAACCCCAAACACAAGCAAGACGGGUAGUUCAACAAUCAGUAUUCAAGAUCAUAAAGCAAUACCGAUUUAAGCAAUAAAGCUUUAAACCAUAUUUAAUCAAAACACUCUUUAUGAGUGUCAUUCAAUAAACCAUAUACAUGUACUCCUAGGGCCCAACAGAAUCAUUCUUCCUCCACAUAAGGGACACCGGCAAUCCCUUCACUAUUACACCACACAGGCGUAGGCGCUCGGGAAUCGCCCGGUCACGGUCCUCAAUCGGAAUCACCGUGCCCCGGUCCUCUAUCGGACUCGCCGGGGGCUGUCACAUCCACGUGUGACACCCGGCCUCGGUGAUCAAGCCAAGUUAAACCGAGCCCACCACUUUCCGGACCACGACCGGCUUAGUGGUACCAUUUGAGAAAGCAAUGACCUGCAACUACUACUAGAACCACCACGAGGUUCUCACACAACAAUACCAACACGAGGUACCCACUAUAACAACAUAUAAUAAUUACACAAUCGCAAUAAUCCGGGUGCUUAGACUAGUCUUGCUAUCCACUUAGCCUAGACAUCGUCUCAAGCCUCGGAUCCACAAACUGACACCUAGCCCGGUCCGGCUAUCCUAGCUCGGAAACCGUCUCCGAUGUCAGGAGCCUGCAUUAAAAAUUUGUUAACAAACAAUUAACCGUGACUCACAGUGAUUAACCGAUGUGGCUUGACUUUCUGAUUCCGGAAGCUGACCAAACCCUUUUUAUUCUUCCAAAUCUUCGUCUUGAUUACGUACCGUUAAUCUCGCAAUCUUGUAACACGUCUUGCCUCUCUAAGCAGCUCCUUAAAUAUAUUAUUUAUUUUCCUUCUUUUUUUUUUUCUAUUUCUUUUCUCUCUUUCUUUUAUUUCUCUUCUCUCCUGUUCUUUUUCUCCUUCUCUCUCUUGGUCGUUGAUGUUCUGAUCGUGAGAAAAUGGAGGGACUUUGCUUCAUUUAUAUAGUCAACCAAGAUGUAUGAGGUGGUGACAAGUAUCACACUCUUCUUCCCAUCUUUGACCACGUUUUCAAAG
Molecule: long non-coding RNA, 8449 nt
Filed under: Brassica rapa (field mustard)
Lineage: Eukaryota; Viridiplantae; Streptophyta; Magnoliopsida; Brassicales; Brassicaceae
Description: long non-coding RNA (BRAP_LNC008410)
Source: RNAcentral